This 1055-nucleotide long non-coding RNA is filed under the name Oryctolagus cuniculus (rabbit). RNAcentral's name for it is "lncRNA (ENSOCUG00000034519.1)". Lineage: Eukaryota; Metazoa; Chordata; Mammalia; Lagomorpha; Leporidae. The record is from RNAcentral.
CACAUAAAAAAAAAAAAAAUUCAGACGAUUAAAAUAUAUUUACGCCCACUCCCCGAAAAAACGCGCCUAUUGUCCGGACAGCCCCGCGUCACCGCCCCGCCCCGCCUGGCCCGCCCCGCCCCGCGCCGCCGCCCCCCACCCCCUAGGCCGAGCCGGAGGGAGGAACCGGGGAGAGAGGGAGGAGGGAUGGAAGGAGGGGGCUGGCCGGCCGACCGAGAACGAGGGAGACUGUGAGGAGCGCAAGCCCGGAAAGACUGCAGAACAGCUCGGGAGGAGAGACCCCCUCCCCAGAGAGGGGAGACAGAGGGAUCGAGAGAGAGUUACUGAGCUGCAGACUGUAUCUCCAGCUACCCAAAGGCUCCCCCCGUCCCCAGCCACACGCCCAAUGCUGUGCCACGAUCUGGAUUCAUCACACCGGAAGGCCUACCUUGCUGACAGCUGACCAAGGAGGGUAUGCCACACAGCCCGUGCCUACCCCAGCACACACAGUGGGUGGGUAUCCCUGCCCAGAGAGCAGGGCGCUACAGGCUCAAGUCUGGUUCAGGACACCUAGGGUACUGAGACCUGUGAUCACCACAACCCCAAUCCUACCCCAUUCAGUGUAGGAGAGCAAGACUGACAUGUUCAGAUGACAUAACUCCUGGGGGAUUGUCAUCAGUUUUGCUGAGAAUGGUACUUCCUGAUUGUGCAGUGCCCAAUCCACACAACUGUGCCCAGGAGUCCUGCCAACUGUGUUUCCUCUGUCCACAUAAAAUGAAAUGGGAUUGAAAAGACUUAAUUUUUUUAAGCUCUAUCAAGUUCUACGUGUCUCUUCCCUAGAUGAUGAGCAGUGUGUUGAAACAAGGGAGGAAAAUAUAUCUCACCUCCACACUUCCUGUUAAAAGUCCACCUUCAUUUAGAAACCUACUUGCUUGUCUUAGAUUUGUAUUACAGAUCAGAGCAAAAUUUGCUCAACAUUGUAAGUAGACCGAGUGUGGUGAGCGGAGCGCUAAGGUCGCCCCCUGGUGUCCAUGCCUUGAAUAAUCCAUCCCUUUCCUGACUUGAGUUAUCUCAGG